AGUUUGUUUAGAGGUUUUUUAAAUCUUAAGUUGGAUUUUUUUUUAUUUAAUUAAAAGAAGGUGGAUUUAGGAUUUAGGAUUUAGUUUUUAAGGAACUUCAUGUUAUGAUGUUAUUUUGUAAUGGUAAAUUUUUGAAGCAUUUUUGUAUCUUGUUGAAAGAUUAUUUUAAUUGUGUAUCAAAGUUUUUAAGGUAGAUUUUUUUAGAUAGAAGUCA
This 214-nucleotide long non-coding RNA is filed under the name Physcomitrium patens. Its description in RNAcentral is "long non-coding RNA (PPAT_LNC008561)". Lineage: Eukaryota; Viridiplantae; Streptophyta; Bryopsida; Funariales; Funariaceae. The record is from RNAcentral.